GCAGUUUGUACAGUGGAUGGAUCUGCUUACAGGCUUUUGGUGUCUGCUUCAAGACAGUGACCCUGAAGUCCUUCUCAACAGGCUACUCUCAAGGAGUUCUUCUCUCAAUCUGUGUUCCUACAUGGUCAUGUUCAGCUUCAGGGGAGUUUAUCCCAUGCUUCACAUGGAAAGGAGAACUGAAAAAAAAAAAAAGGACUUAAGGCUCAAAGUUUCUCAAGGUUUAAAGACUAUCAGACCAAGC
Tympanuchus pallidicinctus (lesser prairie-chicken) is the source of this 241-nucleotide long non-coding RNA. RefSeq lists it as uncharacterized. The record is from RefSeq and is a predicted model, not a curated record. The transcript has 3 exons. NCBI's taxonomy places the organism in Eukaryota, Metazoa, Chordata, Aves, Galliformes, Phasianidae.